CUAAGCUAACUCACAGCUCCACUGUCACAGGCUGCCAGGCACGAACGACCAGCAUGUUUAAUGAAGAUUUCUCCUGCUUAUGUUAGACCUUCCUGUAUCCAGUUCUCUUGAAAUGAUAAAGAUAAUUUCAUAUAAGUUAUAUCUCAUCUGAAAUAUGCUGUGCCUCUCUGACUGAUGAGAAAUUAUUUAUUAGAUGAAUCAGGCAGUAGAAGAACCUGUAUUCCAAUUCAACGAGGAUGGUCAAACCAUCUAAAAGAAUGAUGACUUCCACUUUUCUAUCUACUUUUGAUACAAGAAAUCUGAAGUGGGACAAUACAAGAUGCCAAUUUGGAGUUUGGAAUUCUUUGCUUUGUGUGUCAAUAUUCAUUUCAAAUAUUUUCAUAUUUUACAUGAUUGCCAGUAAUGACAAGGUGAGUUUAACACAGGGUCAGAAAUUUAAGACAGAUUUAUGGUGUAUCUUUUUGUUUCCUUGUUUUUGUUGUGCCUUAUAU
Molecule: long non-coding RNA, 491 nt
Filed under: Mus spicilegus (steppe mouse)
Lineage: Eukaryota; Metazoa; Chordata; Mammalia; Rodentia; Muridae
Description: lncRNA (ENSMSIG00000019124.1)
Source: RNAcentral